Molecule: ribosomal RNA, 253 nt
Filed under: uncultured bacterium
Lineage: Bacteria
Description: partial 16S ribosomal RNA
Rfam family: Bacterial small subunit ribosomal RNA
Source: RNAcentral
GACGAGGGGUCCUAGCGUUGUUCGGAAUCAUUGGGCGUAAAGCGCAUGUAGGCGGCCUAGCAAGUCAGGUGUGAAAGCCCAGGGCUCAACCCUGGAAGUGCACUUGAUACUGCUGGGCUUGAAUAUGGGAGAGGAUAGUGGAAUUCCUGGUGUAGUGGUGAAAUACGUAGAUAUCAGGAGGAACACCGGUGGCGAAGGCGGCUAUCUGGCCCAAUAUUGACGCUGAGAUGCGAAAGCGCGGGGAUCAAACAGG